AAACUGAAGAGUUUGAUCCUGGCUCAGAUUGAACGCUGGCGGCAUGCCUAACACAUGCAAGUCGAACGGUAACGAUGGGAGCUUGCUCCCAGGCGACGAGUGGCGGACGGGUGAGUAACGCGUGGAAAUCUACCUAGUAGUGGGGGACAACCCGAGGAAACUCGGGCUAAUACCGCAUAAGCCCCAAGGGGGAAAGGCUUCGGCCGCUAUUAGAUGAGUCCGCGUCCGAUUAGCUUGUUGGUAGGGUAAUGGCCUACCAAGGCAACGAUCGGUAGCUGGUCUGAGAGGACGAUCAGCCACACUGGGACUGAGACACGGCCCAGACUCCUACGGGAGGCAGCAGUGGGGAAUAUUGCACAAUGGGCGAAAGCCUGAUGCAGCAAUGCCGCGUGUGUGAAGAAGGCCUGCGGGUUGUAAAGCACUUUCGAUAGGGAAGAUUAUGACGGUACCUAUAGAAGAAGCACCGGCUAACUCCGU
This 477-nucleotide ribosomal RNA is filed under the name Gammaproteobacteria bacterium. Its description in RNAcentral is "bacterial SSU rRNA". It matches the Rfam family "Bacterial small subunit ribosomal RNA", at positions 1 to 506 of the family's 1533-position model. Lineage: Bacteria; Pseudomonadati; Pseudomonadota; Gammaproteobacteria. The record is from RNAcentral.